CCCUACGGGAGGCAGCAGUGGGGGAUAUUGCACAAUGGGGGGAACCCUGAUGCAGCGACGCCGCGUGGGUGAAGAAGCGCCUCGGCGCGUAAAGCCCUGUCAGCAGGGAAGAAAAUGACGGUACCUGAAGAAGAAGCCCCGGCUAACUACGUGCCAGCAGCCGCGGUAAUACGUAGGGGGCAAGCGUUAUCCGGAUUUACUGGGGGUAAAGGGGGCGCAGACGGCGAUGCAAGCCAGGAGUGAAAGCCCGGGGCCCAACCCCGGGACUGCUCUUGGAACUGCGUGGCUGGAGUGCAGGAGGAGCAGGCGGAAUUCCUGGUGUAGCGGUGAAAUGCGUAGAUAUCAGGAGGAACACCGGUGGCGAAGGCGGCCUGCUGGACUGCAACUGACGUUGAGGCCCGAAAGCGUGGGGAGCGAACAGGAUUAGAUACCCCAGUAGUC
This 441-nucleotide ribosomal RNA is filed under the name uncultured bacterium. Its description in RNAcentral is "partial 16S ribosomal RNA". It matches the Rfam family "Bacterial small subunit ribosomal RNA", at positions 337 to 795 of the family's 1533-position model. The record is from RNAcentral.